UACAGAGGGGGCAAGCGUUAUUCGGAAUUAUUGGGCGUAAAGGGCGCGUAGGCGGCGAUUCAAGUGACGGGUGAAAUCCCUCGGCUUAACCGAGGAACUGCCUGUCAAACUGCAUGGCUUGAGACCGGGAGAGGUGAGUGGAAUUCCCAGUGUAGCGGUGAAAUGCGUAGAUAUUGGGAGGAACACCAGUGGCGAAGGCGGCUCACUGGACCGGUACUGACGCUGAUGCGCGAAAGCGUGGGGAGCAAACAGG
RNAcentral lists this ribosomal RNA (253 nucleotides) under uncultured bacterium. RNAcentral's name for it is "partial 16S ribosomal RNA". It matches the Rfam family "Bacterial small subunit ribosomal RNA", at positions 524 to 776 of the family's 1533-position model. The record is from RNAcentral.